GCGAGAAACCUUUACAAUGUGCGAAAGCAUGAUAAGGGAACUCCGAGUGCCAGUAUCUAAUACUGGCUGUCCUUGUGCCUAAAACGCACAAGAUAGCAAGGGCCGGGUAAGACCGGUGCCAGCCGCCGCGGUAACACCGGCGGCCCGAGUGGUAGCCGCUAUUAUUGGGUCUAAAGGGUCCGUAGCCGGUUCGAUAAGUCCUCUGGGGAAUCUGGUUGCUUAACAAUCAGACUGCCAAGGGAUACUGUCGAACUUGAGACCGGGAGAGGUAAGAGGUACUUCAGGGGUAGGA
Molecule: ribosomal RNA, 292 nt
Filed under: uncultured archaeon
Lineage: Archaea
Description: partial 16S ribosomal RNA
Rfam family: Archaeal small subunit ribosomal RNA
Source: RNAcentral